UUCAGGGGUAAACGGGAGAAAUCCGAAUAUCUGAAGGAAGUGAUUCACGUAAAAUCUACAUUGUACUAGAUGAGUGAUCGAUGAUUAUUAAACUCCUUAUAUGUAACUUGUUGCAUGUUAAGGGUUCCGUUUAGUGUCACGAUUCAUUUAUCUAUGUUUAUAAUGUGGUUUACCGCAUUUCUACCUUCCUUAUAUAAAAUAAAGACGUUGCGACCCAUUGGAUUCCAGUUUAAGAUAAUAUAAGGAGUCCCAUAGAACUUGCAUUUUUUUUUAAAAAAUGUAUUCGUUUUAUGUGGCCUUAUAUAAUUAUCUAACUGAUUAUUCGAUGGUAUCAAAAUUAGAGAUAACCCGCGUAUUUAAAACGCGUUUGGAUAUAUUUGUAAUUUUUUUAAUGUGAUUUUUCUCUUAGUACGGUCCUAAUGGUCCGUCUAAGUGUAAGCAUUAAUAACAUUUAUAUUCUCAAACUAAGUGGUUAUUUUUUAAAUCUCUUGUCAGCGGCGUAUAUGCUUCGGAAUUUCACCCGACCC
Molecule: ribosomal RNA, 527 nt
Filed under: Challia sp. YKCP001
Lineage: Eukaryota; Metazoa; Arthropoda; Insecta; Dermaptera; Pygidicranidae
Description: partial 28S ribosomal RNA
Source: RNAcentral